GAAAGGAGCAGUUUGCCUCUCUCUGUGAUUACCAAACCAGAGUGAAAGCCUUCAACUACGGACCACUGCAAUUUCCACCAUAACAGGCAACCCAGCAAUUAGAACUGUUUGUUACAGUGACAGCAGAGAGAACCAUUUUCAAGCAACAAGGCACAGGAGCAGGAGCUGGAGGAAGAGAGAGCCUGUUCAUUUGAAGGGGACUAACGCCACACAGCAGCUAAUCCUGGAAUGGCAGGCAGUUUUGGGAACUGCCUAUCCUGCAAAGGCUGAGAUAUUCACAGACAUUCUUGAACUUUUGGAAAUGGUCUAAUUCUGCUUUUUUCUGACCAGGAAUACAAUUGGGUCAUAAAAUUUGGCGUUUGGGAAGAGACAAAGGUUUAUCUUUAGUCCAGUGCAUAAUUUAAUUUCUUACUUCAAUAUUAAAAAUGAAAACAUAAAGGUAGGCACUUUCUUUUCAAAUUCUGGAUUUUAGUGAGUAUUUCGGUGCUCAGAAAACAUCUCACAAUUGAAACUUUGCAAACAGAGUCAUGUUUGUUUACAACAAAAGUACUUGAAAUAAAACUACAGCAUGUUAUUCUGUUGCCACUUUGUCAUUUAUUCUCAUUUUCAUAUGUUUUAAAUUAUGUUACAAAUUUAUUGAUAGCUUGGGAGAAAAUGCCAA
This 661-nucleotide long non-coding RNA is filed under the name Homo sapiens (human). RNAcentral's name for it is "long non-coding RNA NONHSAT177720". The record is from RNAcentral. Lineage: Eukaryota; Metazoa; Chordata; Mammalia; Primates; Hominidae.